This 1222-nucleotide long non-coding RNA is filed under the name Olea europaea subsp. europaea. The record is from RNAcentral. Lineage: Eukaryota; Viridiplantae; Streptophyta; Magnoliopsida; Lamiales; Oleaceae.
GAAAAGUUCAGCCUCUCCUUUAAAGGCUUUGGUAUCGGCAGCUCUUGCUCCAUCAACUUCCGCUGAGGCUACUUCAUUCAAACCAGCUGAUGAAGGGACUACGCUUAAAGAGACAUCUUCAGUCCCAGAAUUCUCAUCACAACCAAUGGAUGAGCCACCUUCUUCCCAGGGCGUCAAUCCCCCAAAUAUCGAAGCAGAAGGUAAUUCAGUUUUUUGAUGCUUUACCUUUGCUUGUGCUAUUGGUUUCUGAUUUGUUGCUUUUGAGUUUUGCAGAUGCUCCUAUGAGUCUGCCCGUUGUGGCAACAUAUUCUCGCUCAGACAAGGGGAAGUCCUCACGAAUGGUGGAGUCACAGGUGGCAGACUUGGCCGAGGAUAUGCCAUCUUCCACGAUUAUUGAUGAGGUAAUCUUUGCUUCACUUCUAUUUCCAUCUUGUUCGUUGUAGUGAGAAUCUUCAAUAUUGGCAAUUUUUUUUGCAGGAUGCUGACAAGAUUGUGCGUUCCAUCCAAGACUUGUUCGCUUCCUGAGGGCAAGUCAAGACAUCUCGCCCUGCUCCAUCUGGUCGUCCUGCUACUUCUUCAGAGGAAGAUUUGAAGUUCCUCAAGCAGUUGAUAUUUGAGUACGUGUCUUUCAUGGAUAUGGACAUUGGUAAGGCUAGUGCUGCCAAACACAAGGAUAAGUUUGAGCAUUUGAAUGCGAAGUUGGAGCAAGCACUGACACUUCUGUCGCUCAAUCUUUUUGCCGAUAUUAAAGCGACGUUGAAAGUUAUCCAUUCCGAGGUCCUCUCCUUGCAGGCCAAGAAUGCUGAAUUGAAGGCCAAAAGUAUUCAAUAUCUUCGUGCUGUAUCUGAAAAAGAGUCUUUGCGUCUGGAGAUCAACAAGGCUGAGGACGAGUUGAAAGAAAUCUCUUCCGAAGUCAUGAUUGAAGACUCUUUGAUAGUUAGUUUGGCUGCUCAGAUGAAGGAACUUCAAGCCAAAAUGGACGACUGCAAGGCGAGAAUGGCUGCUAAAAAGCGUAACGCCUCCCAGGAAAUUGAGCGAACUAAGUCUUUGGUCGAGCAGUACAAAAAGUUGGAGGUUGAUGAUGAUGUCGUGGCCAAAUUGAACAUCACUUCCUCUCGACAGAACGAGGAUUGGGAAAAGCUUAGGGAACGAAUUCGUUCAGUGUGGGGUGGACUGUAAUUAAGACAUAUGACCCCUUAACUUUUCUUUUUGUAAUUUCGCG